GUUGACCUCGAAUCAGGUAGGAAU
This 24-nucleotide ribosomal RNA is filed under the name Metarhizium rileyi. RNAcentral describes it as "partial 28S ribosomal RNA". The record is from RNAcentral. Lineage: Eukaryota; Fungi; Ascomycota; Sordariomycetes; Hypocreales; Clavicipitaceae.